CUCCAGGCUCCUCAUGGAAUCAAGUUAAGAAGAGGUAAUGCAGGAUCAGGGUUGGCCCUACAUCCAAUGACUGGUGCCUUCCCGUAAGAAGAGGGAGAUCCGGACACACAGACACACGCAGUGAAGGUGGGCACGUUAAGGACACAGAUUAGCUCUGCUGCCCACAAGCCCAGGUGCGCUGGCAGCCACCAGGAGCUGGAAGAUGCGGAAACCUUCCUCCAGAGGGGCCUCUGGAAAAACUGUGACCCUGCUGACACCUUGAUUUUGGACUUUUAACCCCAAGAACUUCAAAAUGAUAAAUUUCUGUUGUUCACCACCACCAAGCUUGCGGUAACUGGUUGGACAGCAUCCAUGGAAAAUCACACAAUAUCCUGCAUAUUGAUUCGAUCUAAUUUCCAGUCAUUCUAUCCUAUGACUCGGGUACAAGUAUUUAUUAAAGGACAUUUACAACGCUUUUAUUUACAACAAAUGCCACAUGUUAGAUAUACAUUUCCAGUGAGAGAAAGUAAACAGUUCAAGAAUACAUGAAGUAAACAUCGCAACACUGAAGUCUGGUCUCACUUAAGCAACAAGAAAUGUCAAAUAUUGUCAUUACACCUUGAAUUCUGAUUUGAACUUAGGAAAUAAAAGGAAAGCCAGAGGAAUCAUCUACAUUUUCUGAACGUGAAAACACACUGCCUAUCUCUAAAUAGGAAAAAGCAUGAUUUCUGAGUUUAUCUCCAUUGACUUAUGUUCAAACCUGCCCUUCUGAUUAAAUAGUAAAAAAAAUACAUAUCAAAUUCUUAACUGGUAAAAUCAUUCCAAAACAAUCAAAUUGAGAUGCUAUGAUGACACCAUCCUCUGCUAGCAUGAAAAAAGCAAUAUACAAAUAGAACUCACUGACCUGGUAAGUUUUUUCCCCAGAGUUCAGUGGGAAAUUGUGUGUAUGGGACAGGGGUGGGGAACGGGUCAGCAGGAUGAGAGCAGAUAAGCCAGUGGGAAACUUGAUCAAACCGUUCACAUUAUAAGAGCAUAUUAAACAAUAAAGGUCUACCUGCAAGAUUUUACAAAGAUUCCUAGAGGUAAAAAGUUAGAGGUAAUCCAUGUUGCAAGCUCCAUUUUUGCCCUUAAGGGCCACAGAGCCAAGCCAGCCUCACGAGCCAGGCCAGCUUCUCCAGUGCACUCUACUGUUAUCAGGCCCGAUCUUUCUGCCCAGGAGCACCCCGCUCUGCAGAGCUGUCUCUUUGCUCCCCAAAUGCAGCAGUGGGUCUGCACCCACAGAGGGGGGUGCCCCCAGGCUCAGCCCCUGCAGAGAAAUACUCAUUCUGAGAGUAAAAACCUCUAACAGAGGCUGUAGCCGGAAUGCUACAAUGAGCUUGUUUAAUCAUAUUGUCCAUAUUUUGUGACACUUUGACAUUUUGGGAGCCUCGCUGACAGGGAAGAGAUGGCCCCUUCCUUGGCAGCAAAUUCUUCUCUUUUUUUGGGUCUGAAUUUUUUUUUUAAACUUUUUUUUUUGUAUUGGGGGUAUAGCCAGUAAACAAUGCUGUGAUCGUUUCAGGUGAACAGCGAAGGGACUCAACCAUGCACGUGCAUGUAUCCAUUCCCUUGGCAAGCAAUUCUGAGACACCAUCAAGAACCAUGACUCUCACAGGAAAACCAAGCAAUGCAGCACCCACACCCUGAGCCACCUCCUCCAAUGGCUCUUACCUGCCGGGAGGCAAGACUGCUCUGCCCGAGUCACCCAGGGCUGGCACCAGACAGCCGGAGGCCACCCUACAGCCCAGGGCCCCCGACAUUAUUCAAACCAGCCCGCGCCUUGCUGUCUCCCUGUCUUCACAACACAAGCUCCGCCCGCUCUCUCCCCUCUCCAGGCCCUGCCUCGGCUGGACCUCCUGCUUCUCCCUGUGGCCCUGGGCGGCACGGCACCACCCUCCCCACGCUGCCACUCAGUCACCUCCGUGUGGGCUGGGACUUCCCAGGCGUUCCAGUGGGUAAGAAUCCACUUUGCCGGCUCCCCCUGGUGGUCCAGUGGGUGAGAAUCUGCCUGCUGAUGCAGGGGACAGAGGUUCAAUCCCUGGUCUGGGAGGAUCCCACGUGUCUCAGAGCAAGUAAGCCCGCAUACAACUACUGAGCCCACGUGCUGCCACCUCAGAGGCUCGCACGCCUAGAGCCCACGCUCCACAUCGAGAGAAGCCGCUGCAAUGACAAGCCUGUGCACUGCAACCAGAGAGCAGCCGCCACUCACUACAACUAGAGAAAGCCCUCGUGCAGUAAAGAAGACCCAACACAGCCAAAAAACACUUAGAGAAAUCCCCCCGAAAAAAUAAAUCUUAAAAACCAAUCCCAGGGGACUUUCGUUCUAUCUCUGGUCAGGAACUGAGAUCCCACACGCUGCGGGGCAACUAAGCCCUCAUGUCACACCUAGAGAGCCUGCACUCUGCAAGGAAAGAGUCCCACAUGAUGCAACGAAGACGCGAUGCAAUUACGCAGCCAUUAGAAAGAAUACAUUUGAAUCAGUUCUGAUGAGGUGGAUGAAACUGGAGCCUAUUAUACAGAGUGAAGUAAGCCAGAGAGAAAAACACCAGUACAGUAUACUAACGCAUAUAUAUGGAAUUUAGAAAGAUGGUAACAAUAACCCUGUAUGCGAGACAGCAAAAGAGACACUGAUGUAUAGAACAGUCUUUUGGACUCUGUGGGGAGGGGGGAGAUGAUUUGGGAGAAUGGUAUUGAAACAUAUAUAAUAUCAUAUAAGAAAUGAAUCGCCAGUCCAGGUUCGAUGCAGGAUACUGGAUGCCCAGGGCUGGUGCACUGGGAUGACCCAGAGGGAUGAUAUGAGGAGGGAGGUAGAAGGUGGGUUCAGGAUGGGGAACACGUGUAUAUCUGUGGUGGAUUCAUGUUGAUGUAUGGCAAAACCAAUACAAUUUUAUAAAGUAAUUAACCUCCAAUUAAAAUAAAUAAAUUUAUAUUAAAAAAAAAAGACAUCUUUGUAAAAAAUCCUGUAGGUAUGUUUUAACACAGCUGGUGCAGCGAGCAGGGCGACUCUGUCCUUGACAGAGUGGCAUGCCCAUGACUGCUCCUGACUUACUAGACAGACGCACGGACUAGCCCACACUGCCUCUGGAGGCACAGCCAGCUGCUGGCACCCCUGGGCUCCAUCGCUCUGGCUGCCAUCGCCGCCGUGGUUUUCCAGCCUGAAUUGCAGGCGGCCCUCGCAGCCCGGGCCUCUGCGACCCUCACGCACUCUCGGGUGCUGUAGUCCAGGCUGAUGUUAAUGGUAAACCCCUAGUUGGCCCACUCUGGGAUACCUAACAUCCCAUUUGAUUCUCUACCCAGCCAGCCUCACUUCUGGGAUGGCCAACUGGAGGGUGACUAGGAUAACUGUCUGCGUUUGAAUCUGAGUCUCAGCAACCAAGGUAAAAGCCCAGCUAAGUCACCCCUCCCCGUUCUAUGAGUGAUGGCCCCCCGGCCUGCCCUUUCAGGGGUGUCCCCAGCAGAGUCCAGGUGUUGGUUCCAGUGUGGGAAAGGCCGACACGGUGCCAGGAGCCCUCCUCAGGGAAGCCAUGGGCCUAAUCGUGUGCAGGCUGCUUCCAGAGUGAGUGUCGCCUGCCUUGCUGCUGUGCGGCCUGUCCCUGGCCCAGCAGGAUGUUACAGAUCCCUUCUGAGGAGACCGGCAGCUCAACAUCCACUGCUCUGUGUAAAUUAUAACUCAGUUUCCUAAAGAAAGGAAAAGGAAAUGGGGAAGGAGUGCUUUGUCCCCAGUCCCCCAGGACCUGAGGACGUUUCUUAGCCUGUGUCUGCUCCACCAGGUUCUUUGUGACCCUCUGGACUGUAGCCUGCCAGGUUUCCGCUGGGCAUGGAAUUUCCCGGCAGUAAUACUGGAGUGGGUUGUUAUUUCUUCUCCAGGGGACCUUCCUGAUCCAGGGAUCGAACACACAACUCCUGUGUCUCCUGUACUGGCAGGAGGAUUCUUUACUACUGAGCCACCUGGGAAGCUUCUCAGCUCAUAGGAAACGGCAGAUCUCCUGGCCAACGUGUCUGGGCAUCAUGCGUGUUGCUGCCUAUGAAAAUGCUACAUCUUCCUCCCAAAUCAGGAUGCUGCACCUCUGCUCUCCUGGACCAAGACCAGCCCCCUGUGAUGUGGACUGGGGUACCAUAGAAAGGAGGCCUCUCAAGACCAUGAGGAGCUGAUCAGGCCACACCAAAGGAAAAAAAGAAAAAAAAAAAAAAGUUAUGCACAGAUGAGAGACCGAAAAAAAAAAGAGAGAGAGAGAGAGAGAUAAAGAAAAAAGAUACAAGCCAUCCUGAAAAAAAUUAAAAGAAAAAGGGGUAACGGGGAUGGAUGGUGCUGCAGUCGGCAGCUGUCCUGGGGAGAGCUUCUGCCUGAGGUUGCAGGUUUCUUCUCCACCCCCUCUCCCUCCAGUCAGAUGGAAACGAAAAACCUCAAGUUCAGGGGCUAAAGGCUUGACACAGAAAACUAUUUUUAAAAAAGAAAAACAGAAAAGGAAAAAUAUCCACUUAGACACAGGGGAGAAAAUAAAAGAUAACUGUAGAGAUCUAUCUACCUAUAUGUGUAUGUAUAUGUAUUUUUGCAUUAAAAUUAUAUAUAAUUUUAGGACUAUAUAUAAUUAUAUGUAUAUAAUAUAUAUAAUUAUAGGACUCCCCUGUAGCUCAAACGGUAAAGAAUCUGCCUGCAACACAGGAGACCUGGGCUUGAUCCCUGGGUCAGGAGGAUCCUCUGAAGAAGGGAAUGGCAAUCCAUUCCAGUAUUACUGCUUGUAGAAUCUCAUAGACAGAGAAGCCUGGAGGGCUACAGUUCGUGGGGUCACAAAGAGUCAGACAUGACUGAGCGACUAACACUAUAUAUUAAUUACACUGUAAAUAUUAUAUCAUAUAUAAUUUUAAUGCAAAUAAAAUAUAUAUAGUGAAACUUUUUAAAGGGAAACUUCACUAAAGUGGAGUCAGGAAGCCAGAAGGGCUGCUCAUGCCAUACCACUCCGACAUUAACUACAGAAAGUGCCAUCAGUUACAGACCCCAAAAGAAGAAUCAUCAACAAGAAGUGAUCAUCAAUUACAGGCCCCAACUGGGAAAGAUGUACACUGCAUGUCCUACCAGAAAUCGACUACCGAUAAACCAAAGUUGCUGAUAAAAACCCUAUUUUAUUUUGAAGGUCACCAAUACAUACACAUGGAGAAGGCAAUGGCACCCCACUCCAGUACUCUUGCCUGGAAAAUCCCACGGAUGGAGGAGCCUGGUAGGCUGCAGUCCAUGAGGUCUCGAAGAGUCGGACACGACUGAGCGACUUCACUUUCACUUUUCACUUUCAUGCACUGGAGAAGGAAAUGGCAACCCACUCCAGUGUUCUGGCUUGGAGAAUUCCAGAGACGGGGAAGCGUGGUGGGCUGCUGUCUGUGGGGUCCCAUAGAGUCGGACACGACUGAAGUGACUUAGCAGCAACAAUACAUAUACACGGGCUUCCCUGGUGGCUCCAUGGGGUCACAAGAGGGUAGGAUGUGACUCAGCUACUGAACAACGAUACAUAUACAUAUGUAACUACACUAAAACAGAGGUCUACAACUUGGUCCAGCUGGAAAUCCAGAAUCUAUCCACUCAAAGUUUAUCUCACAAAUUAUCCGAUUAGCGGUAUUUGGUCCUGUCCAAAACAUCCAUGUGGACAUCUGGUCCACACUCAACGGUCUUGUCAAAAACAUGUUUGGUCCUGUCAAAAAACACCCAGGCUUAGGAAACAUCCCUGGGUUCAAACAGCCAGUAACAUUUCUUUAUACUUUUGGUUUACAGGAUUAAUAUCUGAAAAAUACUAUCAUGUUUUAUUAGUCUAAUAAUUGUGCUGUAGCUGUAUUGCUGACAGUCUCGCUUCUUGCCCAGUAGCCUCGCUGGUAACAGCACGUGGGGUCAGGGCUCGAACCCUGCAGUAGCAGCUGAGACUGGGAUUUCAUGAUACAUGAUGAAUUAAAAUGUCACUGAGCUUUUUUUUUUUUUUUUUUUGGCAUUUCAAUUGUGUUUUUACCUUUCUUGAAAUAACAAAGCAUAAUAAGCUGAAAAUGUUGCUUUCACUGUGAUAAAGAACCCAUCUGCCAAUGCAGGAGAAAUAAGAGAUGUGGGUUCGAUCCCUGGGUCAGGAAGAUCCCCUGGAAGAGGGCAUAGCAACCCAUUCCAGUAUUCUUGCUUGGAGAAUCCCAUGGACAGAGAAGUCUGGGGGGCUAUAGUCCAAUCAGUUUCAGAGAGUCAGACACGACUGAAGCGACUUAGCACGCACACAAAAAUUCACCAAUUUCAAUACGCAUGCUGAUAUGACAGCUGUCACCAUACAAUCUAACAAAAUUAUUCUGAAUGAAGUUAAAGAAAACUAGCGGCUACCUGCAUUUGCAUGGGAAAGAAAUCACAACAUUAACCCUUUAUUGUGCACGACAGAUCUCAAGAUUGCGAAUAUAAAUGUUAUUAGACGACUCCUACCAAAUACAGAAAUUAAAGGGGGGGAGGAGCCAAGAUGGCGGAGGAGUAGGACGGGGAGAACACUUUCUCCCCCACAAAUUCAUCAAAAGAGCAUUUAAACGUCGAGUAAAUUCCACAAAACAACUUCUGAAUGCCGGCAGAGGACAUCAGGCACCCAGAAAAGCAAUCCAACUCUUCGAAAGGAGGUGGGAAAAAAUAUAAAAGACAAAAAAAGAGACAAAAGAGGGAGGAACGGAGUUCCGUCCCGGGAAGGGAGUCUUAAAAAGAGAGAAGUUUCCAAACACCAGGAAACCUUCUCACUGCCGAAUCUGUGCCGAGCUUUGGAAGCACAGAGGGCAACAUAACAGGAAGAAAAAAUAAACAAACAAUUAAAACUCGAAGAUUGCGAGUCCUACGGUAACUCCCCCAGCGGAGAAGCAGCGCAGACGCCUGCACGCACCAUUAGCAAGCGGGGGCUGGGCAGGGAGGCUACAUGCGCCGUGAGCAGGGGCAGACCCAGUGUGAGGCACUGGGCACUGAGGCACUGCGAGCACACGCCAG
Long non-coding RNA from Bos taurus (domestic cattle), 6991 nucleotides. The record is from Ensembl. NCBI's taxonomy places the organism in Eukaryota, Metazoa, Chordata, Mammalia, Artiodactyla, Bovidae.